RNAcentral lists this long non-coding RNA (1886 nucleotides) under Bemisia tabaci. RNAcentral's name for it is "lncRNA ENSSSA1NGG006227". Lineage: Eukaryota; Metazoa; Arthropoda; Insecta; Hemiptera; Aleyrodidae. The record is from RNAcentral.
CCACAUUGCCACUGCAUCAGAGUGUUGUACAUGUUGCAUUUCUAUAGAUUGAAGGAGCACCUCUUAUCGAAAUUUAUUGCAAUUAAAUUGAAAUUAGUUGCAACUGUUCAAUGCAUUCCAAUUGCCAAUCUCUACGGCGACUCAUUUUUGUAAUCGUUCAAAAUCGGCAUAAAUUGACCAAAUGAUGUAUCUUCUGGUUUUAGACGCUUGGAUUCUUCGAGACAGUCAACCUGGCGCUUGGGGUCAACAGGGUCACUUACUGAUGAAAAAAGGGAUAUGCGGCAUAGGAGAGUUGAGUUAUGAAUUAAGAGGUCCGUAUGUAGUACCCCCUCCAAGAAAGAAAUUCAGACUUUUUCGCGCGAGAAGGGACAGGGUCCACAUAACAGGCCAAUUUGGCAACACAAAAAACCCCCCCACAUUUCCACACUUUGCCCUUCAUAUGGUAGUAAAAUAAUCGAUAUCAAUCGAUUCUUAGAAUCGAUAUUCAUGAUGGAGUUACAUGGAAAAAUAGCAGUGCUGCCAAGUCCCGAGAACAGCCACUUAGUUUGAAAAUUGGUUACGAAGUGGAAUGCUCAUUUCAUGCAUCAUCGCAAUGCUUUAAAUGGACGUAUUCCUGCUAAACGGAACUAUGUGCGUUAAGGCAUGAGCCCUAAGACCCAUAAUGCGUAACAGGGCUCACGUCAUAAUGCACAUGGUUCAGUUUGGCAAAAAUACGUCCAAAUGAUAUUCAUCGCAGAGAAAUUCUCGGUAAACAUGCGGAAAAGUGUUUCCACGUAUUAACGAGGAAACUAAAAAAAUACAUACUUUUCCCUGUUAGUGACGCUACAGACUUCCUGUAAUCUUGUCCUAAUUUAAUUUUAAAUGGAAAAAUACUUAGAGCAAUGUUUUUAAAAGCCUCCCUAAUGGGUUUGUGGCACGCAAGCAGAGACGCAACUACGUAAAUAAACUUUUUAUUGGUAAAAUUGCACGAAAAUUACGAUUUGAAAAUCAAAAAAGUAUAAUUCACUCCUCAGCGUGUGGGCUGUGUGAUUCGUAACAAAGCUUUUUCUCAAAAGUUUUUAGGUAGUUUUUCUUAAUAACCAGCAAUAACGUUUGCUCAGAAGUACGCGAAAACCCCAGCCCAAAUAAACAAACAAUCUCGCGAACUGUUACAAACCUUCCAUACGAUUUUUGUUAACUUUUUGAGCAUUUUUAACAAAAACAAAGGCUUAUAGAGACGAUUGAGAUCAUACGCGAUAAAGAGGUCCAAUAAAUCGUUUUUUCAAUAUAGGUCAGAGUUUUCUUAAGUCUCUUUCUGGGCAAACUUGAUCGCCGACGGUUAAGCAAAAUUCCUCGUGAGCACAGAAAAUUUAAACAGCGUGUUACAAACUACGUAAAUUGCGCGUAAAAAACGGUUUCAGACUUUUAUGAACUGCUCAUCGUAAUGUAACAAAAGGCUAAUCACUUGCUUGUAUCUCUUGCGUGCAACGAAUCCAUUGUUCUUUUCUGCGUAUGGGAUUUCCGUGAAAAUUUCAGGCAAUAAUGCUGAUUCGUCCUCCUUCGACAAGAUGAGAAGAGAGCUGAGAUUUUAGAACACGUCAUGCGAAUGAUAUAUUCGUUUUUGCAGUUUUACCGUCGUUCUUUCAAGGCUCCCAGCCGAUUUAAAAAAACAUUUUGGUUUGGUGAACCUCGGCCAUGCAAGGUAUGCCAAACCAAACUAAGACAUUUCGUUGACUCCUUUAGCGAAACAUCUAAUACUCUUGCACUUUUGUUUCCUUUUUGAAACCUAAUAAAAUAUACCGUCGUUUGUUGUAAAUAGCAUCAUUAGAGCUCAACGUAACUGUAAAUAUUUCUGAGUGAUAGCUUGUAAUUUUAAUUAUGUAAACAAAUAAAACUUUAUACUAAAU